RNAcentral lists this unclassified non-coding RNA (468 nucleotides) under Hevea brasiliensis (rubber tree). The record is from RNAcentral. Lineage: Eukaryota; Viridiplantae; Streptophyta; Magnoliopsida; Malpighiales; Euphorbiaceae.
UUACCAUAAAAUUCUCCAACUUUGGCCCGCAACUUUGGAAUUUGUUACACUUUAGCCCUUCAAUUUUUCAAAUUGGGCAUUAUCCGCAAUAAAUUCGAAAAGCAACAGGAAAACAUAUUGGAGAACUAAUAAGUAAAUAAAUUAUCGACUAGAAAAACAACCAUAAAAAGUUAUUUUUGGGAAUUUUCUUUUCGGUUUUAAAAGAGAGAGAGUAGACAGUGAUUUACGUUUUAUUUUCAUUGAGAUAGAGGACAUAGAGGGAGAGUCAUAAGAGAGCACAAGGAGGAUUAAAUUUAGAGUUGAGAGGGAGAGAGCGCGUGAAAGGAGAAAGAGAGUGAGGAGAAAGGACGAUUUGAAUUACAUGUGGCAUUUUUUUUUAAUUUCUUUUUAUCUUACACUAUAACACUGUCACAUACAAGAUUGGCUAUAGAUAUGAGGGGUUUUUCUAUGGAUCGAGCAUAUGAGGUG